UGGGGAAUUUUGGACAAUGGGCGCAAGCCUGAUCCAGCCAUGCCGCGUGCGGGAAGAAGGCCUUCGGGUUGUAAAGCUCUGUCGCAGGGGAAUAACACAAUGAAUGUACCCUGCAAGAAAGGAUCGGCUAACUCUGUGCCAGCAGCCGCGGUAAUACAGAGGGUGCAAGCGUUAAUCGGAAUUACUGGGCGUAAAGCGUGCGCAGGCGGUUUUGUAAGUCUGAUGUGAAAUCCCCGGGCUCAACCUGGGAAUUGCAUUGGAGACUGCAAGGCUAGAAUCUGGCAGAGGGGGGUAGAAUUCCACGUGUAGCAGUGAAAUGCGUAGAUAUGUGGAGGAACACCGAUGGCGAAGGCAGCCCCCUGGGUCAAGAUUGACGCUCAUGCACGAAAGCGUGGGGAGCAAACA
RNAcentral lists this ribosomal RNA (405 nucleotides) under uncultured bacterium. RNAcentral's name for it is "bacterial SSU rRNA". It matches the Rfam family "Bacterial small subunit ribosomal RNA", at positions 355 to 774 of the family's 1533-position model. The record is from RNAcentral.